UUAAGGAAAGCCAAAGAGAGGCUUAUCACUGUUAAUGAUAGAAAUGGGGAUGACCCCUUCUUGAA
Molecule: transfer RNA, 65 nt
Filed under: Cinygmina furcata
Lineage: Eukaryota; Metazoa; Arthropoda; Insecta; Ephemeroptera; Heptageniidae
Description: tRNA-Asn
Source: RNAcentral